Molecule: long non-coding RNA, 1242 nt
Organism: Phragmites australis (common reed)
Lineage: Eukaryota; Viridiplantae; Streptophyta; Magnoliopsida; Poales; Poaceae
Exons: 4
Source: RefSeq, a predicted model, not a curated record
CUCCACCAUGGGCACUCGCCCCUAGCACCUCAGCCCUCACCACCACGGCCACCAAAGCCUUCCAACUCCCCUCCACGUCCCUACCCUGGCCGCGAUCUGUGCCCACCUCACCACGGCGGUUCCCUGCCAUGUUCCUGCCGCCGGACCUUGCACCUCCAACAGCAGCAGCACGCAGUCCACAUCCCCAUCGCCGGCUUCCUCCGUUGCUCUAUCUACCAUCUUUCCCUUGCAAUCAAGCUUCCUCUUGGUUGUAUAUGUGGUAAAUACGCAGGUCUGCUAAGGGUUGUGGUCUGGAUUAGGAAAAAAAAUAGGGUUCCUUGCAUAUCGAGAGCCUUGCAAAAAUUUGGGAAAAAAUAUUUGAUUUCUCAAAUUAAGACCUUGCAAAUUGAAGUGCUUGUUGUUCUUUGAUGCAUAUUGAGAGCUGCUGCACUUGGAUGCUAGAGUAUUUGCAAGUCGUUGCCUACGUGUGUUUGGAGGGCCAACAUUUGUGUUCUGAAGUUCUUACGGCCUCUGAAAUUGCUUAUGCAACGGCAAUCCUCUUCUACAAAAGGGAAGGGCCAUGCAAAUUGAAAUGAAUAUUGUUGUUUAUUGGAUAAGUUGUGAGCUAUUGCACCUAGAGGAUGGUCUACCUGCGAGUUUCUGGAUAGUAAUCUGAGCCUUGUGUUCUGAAGUUCGAGCUUGCUCUCAAAAUUAUUUUCUACAACAGCAACAUUCCUCUUCUGCAAAAGGAAAGACACAAAUGGAAUAACUAUUGAUUUGACUGCAGGGUGUCUACGGUAUGGUUGCAUUCUUAUUAUUUCAAUCCUCUAUCAUUGUUUUCAGUUUUGACUCUUCACCUGUGUGUCAUUGUGGCAAUCUUUUGAUGUAUUACUCAUUCUUGUUAAUUCAGGAAAAUUAAUGGUAGUGGCACAUAGAAGAGAAGGAAGACAAUCAGAAAAUGAUUACAAGCUGCAGCCUGUCAGUGGUCAUUUUUUUUGUACCAGGCUGUCGAGCUUCUUUUGCAAAAGAUUGCAAAGUUGUACGGAUUGGCUAUUGCAAGACUCCCAUUAGCCACACCAUUUGUGUACAUGAUUCAUAGAAACUCACAAGAAUGUUUCCUUUUGUGUUUGGAUGGUCGAUAGAUGGCACCUUUUGUGUGUCAACAACUAUUGAAUGACACAUCUUUUGUUUACUGUUGUUCGAUGUACAUUGCACUUUAUUUUCCAUGGAUGAUCUGUCACAGUUUAUUGUUUUCAUAGUUUA